CCACCCCACCCCACCCCCGCCCCCCAGCUCGGUUCCGAGAGUCCAGGUCCGAAGUCCUCCAGCCCCGUGCAGGCACCACCUCCCCUCAGGCCGCCUCCCAUGGGGGUGGCAGCCACAGCUGAGAUGGUAGCUCUUGAGGCAAAAAUAGCGCCCACAGCUGCCUGAGGCUUUGUGCCAGGGAUGUGGACGCCAGCGUCCAGGCGGGGAGUAGCGUGCCCUCUAAGCACCAGGAGUGGGGGCCGAGGGGUCAAGGGCCUCUUUUUUCCCCUCUUAGCUCUGUCACGUGAGGUGGGGCUCGUGGGGCGACUCAGAAGGCGACCUCUAGAAAUGGGGUUUCACAGCGGGUGUGUGCUGAGCAGAAAGGUGGUGCUGGGCCCGGAGCUGCACCACGAAAAGGCAGAGGCUGGACUGUCCGGCAGGUGUGUGGGACAGACACACCAGGGAGUGGCUAGGUGCUGCUGCCCAAUUGGACUCGAGUGUGGCAUUGACCACAGGGCCGGGAAGCCCAGGAGUCCCUCCUGUGGAGGGCUUGGGGCCUCGUGGAGAGAAGGCCCUGGGUGCCUUGGGGCAGCUCCACCCCCCACCCACACCUUAGAGGGCUCCUCAGGAUGUUUUCUGGUAAAGGACUUCGGAAGGGCCCCUGUGGCUGGGGAGCGACCUGCCAUGGGUUCUUUUGGGCCAGAGAUCUCGGGGUGUCCCUCCUUUCCAUCCUAAAUGGGGACAGGAGGGUUCCCCUGAGGCAGAGGUGGAGCAGGGCCUGUCUGCAGGUGUGGGAGUAGGUCGCAGACCGGGAGGUCAGGGUGGGCAGAAGGGCUUGUUCCAGGCCGGGGAAGGCCGAGGUUUCCCGGGCCCUCCAUGCCCUCCCCUGCUGAGCUGCAAUGACCCCAGUGGGGGGAGACACUCAGGUGUCCUUGGAGACACGUUCCCAUCCCCUUUUAAUUAGCUUAGCAAGCUGCAGGCUCAGAGGCUCGCUCUCUCGCUCCCUGGGAGUUUGCUUCAGAGACUGGGCUGACCAGGGCCCUUCUGCGGCUGUUACAGCAAUCACGAUCAGGUUCCUGUCCCCUCCCCAGGCCUAGAGGGAGGGGCCUGCCUCCUGGGGGAGGGGGAGAGCAGGGCUUCUGCUCCUCUGCUUGUGCGUAUCCAGUAAGUCUUAAUGUCCCAUUCAUGCCAGGGACACUGCUUGGGUGUGUGUUCGUGCCCCCUUCUCGUGCAUAGUGUUAGCGCUCGCCCAAGAGUCUGGUUCUGUAGGUCUGGUGGGACUUGAACCCUGGACAGUUAGGGUGCAGGUGGUCGGGAGGUGGGUGCUGGCACUGUCCCGGCAGGGGCUGCUGACCCUGAGCUCCAGGACCUGGGGACGGACAGGUCUGCUGGGAAAGGAAGGGACAGGAACCAGGCAAGAGGCCACUCCGUUGCCACAUUGAGGCCAGGACUAAAAGAGCCUGCUGGGCUACACCCCACAGGCCUGCAAGCCCUGUAGCUGCCCAGCCUCAAAACCCAAGACAGAGCCAGAGGCAGUGACAGAGACACAAAGGGUCCUGGGGUGACAGCCCACCAUGUGUGGCAACCAGUAAGCCGGGGCGGGGCAGCACUCCUCACCACUGUUUACAAGAGUGGUUGCAUCAGGGGGGCUCCACAGUUACCAGGGGCUAGUUAAGCCUUGUAAUUAAGAGGACUGGAUGGUCUCGUGAGUGGAGCAGGAGGUGUACACAGAGCAGGAAAACAGCGGUCUUUCACCCCCGCCCCCGCAGCAUAUGGAGGUUCCCAGGCUGGGGGGUGAAUUGGAGCUACGGCUGCUGCCUACACCACAGCCACAGGUCCUUAACCCACUGAGCAGGGCCAGGUAUUGAACUCGCAUUCUAAUGGAUACUAAUUGGGCUCUUAACCCACUGAGCCACAACGGGAACUCUGAAAACAGCUGUCUCGAGUGCCCUAACUGUUCAGACCUGGAGUGAGAGGCCUUUCCACCUGCGUCAAUGGAGGGCACCUGGAGGCACCGGUGUCUCGGGGGGUUUGGGGCAGCUGACAUGUGCACCAGGCUGAGCAAAGCUGGCCGAGCUGAUAGAACCCCAACCAAGGCUUCCUGUGUCUUCCACGGGGAUGGAGGGGCUGCUUGAGUCAUCCACACUCAACUGGGCCUCUGUGAGUGGGCGGGCUGGCUGAGACCCCGAGCGGGAGUGGGGCAGGACUGCCACUUGCCUGCAGUGGGACUUGACGGACGCCCAGUGACAGGCCUGCUCUGCAGGCCUGAGGGGAGGCAGUGUGGACAAAAGGCUAAACUCAGGCUGAAGUGGGAGCUGGGUGGGUCCUCAUCAGGCGUCCUCCUCUAGCAGGGCUGGGGCCCGGAGCCCUCGUGGCGGGAUGGGCAGGACUGUGUCCACUCGUUCCCACUUCUGAGCCGGUCCGGCUGGCUUUCUCGGGGCGCUCUCCCCAUGCUCUACAUCCAUAACUCUCCCCAGCCUUCAAAGCCCAGCUCAGGGAGUCUCUGGUGGCAGUGGCUGUUUACAGCGGUUGCACCCGUUCGAUCCCUGGCCCAGGAAUUUCUGUGUGCCUUGGGCGCAGCCAAAGGAGGGAAAAAACCCCAGCACAGGCACCCUUUGCUCCAGGCAGCCUGUCAUAACCUCCCAGCCAGGAGGUUCCCUCCGCUGAGGUCGCCCAGCCUUGGACGGACAGCCCUGACUCUGGAGCUGACGCUCCACCUGCCUCCCCCACCCUGGGCUCCUUGCCAUCCCCACCUGUACGGCUAAGAGGAUCUCAAACUACCUGGCCAGGACUGGUGCACCUUCUGCCAGCACCGGAAUUGACAUGAAAACCCUGAUCCUGCCCUGGGAAACACCCCCCCGUCUCAGGAAACGGAAGCUCCAGCCUUCUGCUUUUUCUGGCAUCUGUCUCCUUUCUCACACCCCGAUUCUGAGCCCGCUGACUGACCGGCUCAGCUGGCCUCUGCUGCCCACGCUGAGCCCCCCCAGAGGGACGCUUCUGGAGCAGAAGCCAGCUCGUCCCUCCCGCCCCCGAGGCUCCCCAAGUCACUCAGCCGACGCUCAGUUCACACGCUCCACCCCAGGCCUCUCCUCCCGGCCCGAAAGUGCGUCCUGAGUGGGUCCUCCCUCCCGCUGUCCCGUCAGGUCUGUUCAUUGGCCGUCUCCCUCGCAGAAAGGACAGCAGAGAUGUGUGUUCCCACCACUGAAUCCCCAGCCCUCAAAAGGGUCUAGCACACAGUGGAUGCGCAUGAAUCCUUGCAGAGACAUGAAGGCUAUUUCCCGACCUCCAAGACCCGCGUCCUCAGAAAGGCAGCAGGGGCCUGGCAAUGGACCAGGAGCACCCCCGCCUCCACCCCCGCCACCAGCGGCACUGCUGCAGGUCUUGGAGAUCAGGGCAUGAAGUGACUGCAAAACUGGGUGUCAGAGCUACUGCUUAUCAGUUACAAGCCCAGGAAAUAAACAUGUAUACACCUCAACUGGAGAAAGGACCACGGAGGGCAAGUGAGAGGGAAAGGUGAGGGGCGAACACCAGCAGUCACUUUGGAUGGCCUUGGGAGUGACAAGGGAACCUUGCAACAGUUGAGGGAGGAACCAACGGGAAACCCUUACAAAAGAACAGCAAGUGCUGAAGCUGAGGCCAGGUGAGCUCACUGGGGCACAGGGAGGUGAUUGCGCCUGGAGCACAGUAAGUGGAGGGCAGAGGCCCCUGCCUCCCCCAUCUUUUGGGUCUGGGGAGGCCUUGGCUGCAGGGGCCUGUGGAGAGGCGGGCACACACUCUCUGGCUUCAGACACCCUCACCUGCACUGCUCCUCACAGCAACCCAAGAGGGCUUCCUUCUAAGCCAGAGUGGGUCACCCAGAUUGGCAAUGGAUGACUGGCAUGAGCCUCAUCAAGGAGGGCAGGUCACUUCCAGGGCUGCUCUCAACUCACCACACCCCCUCCUCCUGCCCCCCCCCACCCCAUUGUCUGCAGAGUUGAGGCAGAGGGAAUUAAGGAGCGUUUGCACUUCACUUCUGAACCUGGAGAAAAAAGUGAGAAAAGUGGCUCCAGGGGGGAUUGACUGAAUAUUUAUCUAAAGAAAUCAGUCAUCAGCAGUACGUUCACUACAAAAUAAUUUAUUGCAACACACAGCUAAAGCCCUAGCCUAUGUACAAGCACAUGCACACCCCUGCCCGGCAGCUAGGGGGCGCGUUUCUUCCCCCGUGCCUUGCGGACCUCUUCUAUCAGAUCUUUGAGAUACUGAAUCUCCUUGGCCAAGGAAUCCGCCUUCUCUUUCAGAGCUUCGUUCUUCUUUUCUAGCUCUUUACAUUCGCCAGUGAGGGCCUCCUGCUCUGCCCUCUUCUUCUGGCGGUACCUAGUGGCUGCUGUCUUGUUCUGCUCCAUCUUCUUCAGCUUCUUAUCUAGUUUCUCACCCUUUACUUUUGCUGCUAC
Long non-coding RNA from Phacochoerus africanus (Common warthog), 4409 nucleotides. RefSeq lists it as uncharacterized. The record is from RefSeq and is a predicted model, not a curated record. NCBI's taxonomy places the organism in Eukaryota, Metazoa, Chordata, Mammalia, Artiodactyla, Suidae. The transcript is spliced from 2 exons.